Molecule: ribosomal RNA, 109 nt
Filed under: Larimichthys crocea (large yellow croaker)
Lineage: Eukaryota; Metazoa; Chordata; Actinopteri; Sciaenidae
Source: RNAcentral
GCUUACGGCCAUACCACCCUGAAUGCGCCUGAUCUCAGAAGCUAAGCAGGGUUAGGCCUGGUUAGUACUUGAAUGGGAGACCGCCUGGGAAUACCAGGUGCUGUAAGCU